GCCAUUUCCCAUGUCUCUCUGUUCUCCAAACCGCGAUGAAAUUUCAACCUGCCCAACACGAUUACUGGUCCACCUAGAAAUGCCGUGGAGCGAUUUAAGAGCCUCGGAAAUUUCCUUUAAGGUCAGGAGAGAAGCUGGUAACAGAUGGGGCGAAGGAGGAAAAGUUCUUUUUGCGGCACCCUCACGCCUUCCCAGCCCUUUCGCGGUUUACUCGCUCCCCGGAAAGCAGAAAUGAAAAGAGGCUUGCUCAUGACUUGGAAGCGGUGGGCUGAGGCCUCCCAAGACCAUCUGGCUUGUUCCAUUGCCAGCCAGAGUGGAGGCGACAUUCACACGAACCCAGGAGCUGCAGGGGCGCGUGAGCUACAGCUGCCUUGUGGCAUCCAAGGAGUGCGCAACUAGUCUCACUCUGUUGCCCAGGCUGGAGUGCAGUGGCGCGAUCUCAGCUUACUUCAGCCUCCGCCUCCCGGUUUCAAGUGAAUUCUCCAGCCUCAACUUCACAAGUAGCUGGGAUUACAGCCACUUUUUAUCUUCUCUCCUGCAAUCCAACCCACAUAAUUUCCAUGAAGAAAGCGGAGUGGUGUCAUUUUACAACAAGAAAACUGAGUUAAGAAUAAGUCCAAUCAAUUGCUAGGUGUUGAGACUGAAAUGGAAGUCUCUUAGUACUCCACCCAAGGAUUUUCAUAUUAAACAAUUAUCU
RNAcentral lists this long non-coding RNA (697 nucleotides) under Homo sapiens (human). RNAcentral's name for it is "HSALNT0212900". Lineage: Eukaryota; Metazoa; Chordata; Mammalia; Primates; Hominidae. The record is from RNAcentral.